This 975-nucleotide long non-coding RNA is filed under the name Cucumis sativus (cucumber). RNAcentral describes it as "long non-coding RNA (CSAT_LNC002169)". The record is from RNAcentral. Lineage: Eukaryota; Viridiplantae; Streptophyta; Magnoliopsida; Cucurbitales; Cucurbitaceae.
UUCUUGUAUCAAGGAAGGUGGUUCUUCAUUCAAUUCAUUAGAGAAUUUAGUCGAUUUUAUCCUUCAAAAAUAAAUCAUAAAGUGGGAAUUUGGGAUGUAACCAUGAUGAAUUAUUCUUUUGGCUUCAUAACUUGAGUUUUCGUUUUGUCUACUUGGUGAUAAUCCAUUCACGGAGAAACAAACAAAUAAUUCAGAAUGUUAAGAGUCAUUUUUACUUUUAAAAAUAUCAUCGGACAUAAACUAAGAAUACAAGUAACAAAGUCACAAAAAUAACUAGAUUUUAGCACCAAUCAAAAUAAGCAUUGAGAUAAAGUUGGUUCAUAUUAAAAUUUAUCAUGCUUAACUUCAAACAAUACACUACUAAAGUUGAUCUUAGUAAGAUUGUGAAUGGAGCAUGUUUCACGUAUAUCACUCCAAAACUUUAAUUAAGACUAUAUUCUUGACUCGAUAUGGGUUAUAUGAGUUAUCCUAAAAUAACUCCAAAACUUAGGUUAAUCAUUGGAAUACUUCAGACACGAUAGCUUAAAUUAUGUCCACGUUAUAUCCCUUACUUAAACAUUAAGAUGUGUGACAAAUACAUCAUCAAACUAGGUUUAUUCCUUCUUAAAAAAUUGAUAUCGGGUGACUAUGAAGUCUAUUUUUUUUCUUUUUAAGAUUUUUGCGAUAAACAGAAAGUAUAAAGAGUUGGCAUGUAAAGGGAAUUGACAAGUAGACAUCAAAUCCGACACAUGUAGGACACUUGUACAAUUUUCCCAUAUCAAACAAAUCUCAUUCUACACUAUAAAUUGACCUCUUGGUUUGAUCACCGUUUAAAGAAGAAGCCAUUACCAAAUCGUUGAAUUCAAAAACAAUGUCAUUGAUCCCAAGUUUUUUCAGCGGCCGACGAAGCAACGUGUUCGAUCCAUUCUCUCUAGAAAUAUGGGAUCCAAUAGAAGGGAUGCAAUUCCCUCAAACCUCCGGCGAAACAGCGGCAAU